Molecule: ribosomal RNA, 253 nt
Filed under: uncultured bacterium
Lineage: Bacteria
Description: partial 16S ribosomal RNA
Rfam family: Bacterial small subunit ribosomal RNA
Source: RNAcentral
CACGUAGGGCGCAAGCGUUGUCCGGAAUUAUUGGGCGUAAAGAGCUCGUAGGUGGUUUGUUACGUCUGCUGUGAAAACCUAGGGCUUAACCCUGGGCUUGCAGUGGAUACGGGCAGACUAGAGGUAGGUAGGGGAGAAUGGAAUUCCUGGUGUAGCGGUGAAAUGCGCAGAUAUCAGGAGGAACACCGGUGGCGAAGGCGGUUCUCUGGGCCGAUACUGACGCUGAGGAGCGAAAGCGUGGGGAGCGAACAGG